UACAGAGGGGGCAAGCGUUAUUCGGAAUUAUUGGGCGUAAAGGGCGCGUAGGCGGCUUGGCAAGUGGAUGGUGAAAUCCCUCGGCUUAACCGAGGAACUGCCGUCCAAACUGCUUCGCUUGAGACCGGGAGAGGUGAGUGGAAUUCCCAGUGUAGCGGUGAAAUGCGUAGAUAUUGGGAGGAACACCAGUGGCGAAGGCGGCAUCCUGGACCGGCAUUGACGCUGAGGAGCGAAAGCCAGGGGAGCAAACGGG
Molecule: ribosomal RNA, 253 nt
Filed under: uncultured bacterium
Lineage: Bacteria
Description: partial 16S ribosomal RNA
Rfam family: Bacterial small subunit ribosomal RNA
Source: RNAcentral